AGUAAAGUAACAUAAUUGUUAUAAGAUACAUGACUCCACAAUAUUCAUAAAGGUGGUCUUUUACCCUACAGCAGUACAUGGUUUCAUUUGGUCAUCUGUAUUACAUGCUGUGCACAGAUUAUACAAGCAAUAAGAGUAAAGUAACAUAAUUGUUAUAAGAUACAUGACUCCACAAUAAUCAUAAAGGUGGUCUUUUACCCUACAGCAGUACAUGGUUUCAUUUGAGUUUUUAUCUCAUAUAUUACAUGUUGCCUUACAUAUUCAGUACAUUAUUUCGUACUGACGUCCCUCUUGGGGGACCUGCAUUCCAUGCUGCAGGUACAGAAGCUAAUAAACCUCCCUAGUAAGAGUACAGGAUAUCAACCGCAGUCACUGAGCUCCAGGUUGCUUCGGGGCUUUGAGUCUUAUCAUAUCUUUUUGUAUUGUAUAGUAUCUUAUCAUGAGGCGGGGUCUGUCCCGACCCUUGUAAGAUAAUGUUUCUUGUCUAGAGGCUUUGUAGACUACGUAAAGUAUAGUAUGGUCAUGUAUCGUACCGUAGACAUUGUGGCUCCAACGGCCUAGUCAUAUAAUAUCUUUUGGCUUGCUAGUCCUAUUUAUCUUUUGAGGGCAUGUUUAGUAUGAAAGUAACUUAUAAUGUUCAUAGGUAAUGUAUCGCUACAGGUUGGUUCUCCCGAGCCUUACCGGCAACGGG
Molecule: long non-coding RNA, 691 nt
Filed under: Capsicum annuum
Lineage: Eukaryota; Viridiplantae; Streptophyta; Magnoliopsida; Solanales; Solanaceae
Description: long non-coding RNA (CANN_LNC015071)
Source: RNAcentral